This 199-nucleotide long non-coding RNA is filed under the name Elaeis guineensis (African oil palm). RNAcentral's name for it is "long non-coding RNA (EGUI_LNC052059)". Lineage: Eukaryota; Viridiplantae; Streptophyta; Magnoliopsida; Arecales; Arecaceae. The record is from RNAcentral.
UGUGGCAAUAAUUCUUUGAGAAAGAAAAAAAAGGUGCAAAAAGAGUCAUGCUUGGGCUAAUGAGUCCAAACUGAUAAACGAGCCUAAGGUUAAUCUGGUCUGACAGAGUCUCUUGAUCCGAACAGGCUAAGAGAAAUCAGUAAAAAGUUACAGAACAAGGUACUUAUAUGAUAACACCUUGUGAUUUCUCUAUCUGUGA